ACUGCUCAGUAACACGUGGCUAAUCUGCCCUUGGGACUAGAACAACCCCGGGAAACUGGGGCUAAAUCUAGAUAGGUGAAGAACUCUGGAAUGAGUCUUUGCCUAAAUAGGUUCACGUUAUCCUCGUGAACUUGCCCAAGGAUGAGGCCGCGACCGAUCAGGUUGUUGGCGAGGUAAUGGCUCACCAAGCCUUUUACCGGUGCGGGCCGUGGGAGCGGGAGCCCGGAGAUGGGUACUGAGACAAGGACCCAGGCCCUACGGGGCGCAGCAGUCGCGAAACCUUUGCAAUACACGAAAGUGUGACAGGGCUAUCCCGAGUGCCAUCCGCUGAGGAAGGCUUUUACCCAGUCUAGAAAGCUGGGGGAAUAAGGAGAGGGCAAGUCUGGUGUCAGCCGCCGCGGUAAUACCAGCUCUCCGAGUGGUGUGGAUGUUUAUUGGGCCUAAAGCAUCCGUAGCUGGCUAGGUAAGUCCCUUGUUAAAUCCACCGAAUUAAUCGUUGGAUCGCGGGGGAUACUGCUUGGCUAGGGGACGAGAGAGGCAGACGGUAUUUUCGGGGUAGGGGUGAAAUCCUAUAAUCCCGGGAAGACCACCAGUGGCGAAGGCUGUCUGCUAGAACGCGCCCGACGGUGAGGGAUGAAAGCUGGGGGAGCGAACCGGAUUAGAUACCCGGGUAGUCCCAGCUGUAAACGAUGCAGACUAGGUGUUUGGACAGCCACGUGCCGUUCUAGUGCCGCAGGGAAGCUGUCAAGUCUGCCGCCUGGGGAGUACGAUCGCAAGAUUGAAACUUAAAGGAAUUGGCGGGGGAGCAC
RNAcentral lists this ribosomal RNA (809 nucleotides) under uncultured archaeon. RNAcentral's name for it is "bacterial SSU rRNA". It matches the Rfam family "Archaeal small subunit ribosomal RNA", at positions 85 to 879 of the family's 1478-position model. The record is from RNAcentral.